CCUACGGGUGGCUGCAGUGGGGGAUAUUGGACAAUGGGGGAAACCCUGAUCCAGCGACGCCGCGUGAGUGAAGAAGUAUUUCGGUAUGUAAAGCUCUGUCAGCAGGGAAGAAAGAAAUGACGGUACCUGACCAAGAAGCCACGGCUAACUACGGGCCAGCAGCCGCGGGAAUACGUAGGGGGCAAGCGUUAUCCGGAAUUACUGGGUGUAAAGGGAGCGUAGACGGUGAUGCAAGUCUGGAGGGAAAGGCGGGGGCCCAACCCCCGGACUGCUCUGGAAACUGUGUAACUUGAGUGCAGGAGAGGUACGCGGAAUUCCUAGUGUAGCGGUGACAUGCGUAGAUAUUAGGAGGACCCCCAGUGGCGAAGGCGGCUUACUGGACUGUAACUGACGUUGAGGCUCGAAAGCGUGGGGAGCAAACAGGAUUAGAUACCCGAGUAGUC
This 443-nucleotide ribosomal RNA is filed under the name uncultured bacterium. Its description in RNAcentral is "partial 16S ribosomal RNA". It matches the Rfam family "Bacterial small subunit ribosomal RNA", at positions 338 to 795 of the family's 1533-position model. The record is from RNAcentral.